Long non-coding RNA from Lolium rigidum, 3955 nucleotides. RefSeq lists it as uncharacterized. The record is from RefSeq and is a predicted model, not a curated record. The transcript is spliced from 8 exons. NCBI's taxonomy places the organism in Eukaryota, Viridiplantae, Streptophyta, Magnoliopsida, Poales, Poaceae.
GUCGUGGCCACCAGCGAGCGGCAAGGGCGCAACCAGUGAUAAAGAUUGAGGUCUACAGUCGGCAGCCCGGUUGUGGCCAAUGUCCUUGCACGUUGGCCUCCAAUGCCUAGAUGAAGGUUCUAAGCCCUAGGUGCUCUCCUCCUUGGCGUCGGAUCUAACUUGCUGGAGAGUGUUCAAUCCUGGAUGGGUUGUCAGCAGCUAACAGACAAAGUAUAUUUUGCAGUACAAAGGAAACUUCAGAGAAGAUCUAGGCCAAGAACAAACUGACCAUUUUGCAGGCAAGGUCAUCUACAUUCAUGUUCUGUUUCGAGAGAUGGGGCAUGUAUGGAUUGAGGAGGUCAAGAAGUUGGCAUAUUGGCAAUAUAUUAAUUUCAAGCAACAAGGGAGACCCAAAAUGGCACGCGUUCCCCGGAUUACGCAUUAUUGUGGAGGAGGACCAAUUGUGGGCUGCAAUAUCUUGUGGGCUGCAGUAUCUACGGGAUAUGUAGAGAAAUAAAGAGGAAAAUCUUGUGGGCUGCAAUAUCUACGGCCAGUCAAAUCACAUUAUUUAGUAGGAGAAAUAAAGAGGAGGACCAAUUGUUGUUGUGGAUAUGUAGAGAAAUUCAUUCUGACCAUGGUGUAUUUUAUAUGGAAACUUUUUCUUUGAUUACAUCUUUUUCUUUAAUUGAGGCUUCUCUUGUAAACCUAAUGAUAUAGCCAUAUAGGAGGAAAUUGUUCCGCAUGAUCCUCAUAUGAUGAAUACGAAGUGAUAUCUUCCCUUCUGGUAGCCAGGCUCGAUUAAAAUUUCAGUUUAGAGUUCAUGAUUAUGCACUAAUCUGUUUAGAAAUAAAUAUUGUCUUGGCAAAUAUUAUUAGCCAUUUUCGUGAAAAUUUGGUGAAAAGUCAUUUGACAGGUUCAGGUAAAGAUUUUCCAUAUUUUUCGUUUGACGAGUUCUGGUAAAUAUUUUCUCACAGUUUAUUUUGUGUCCAAAUUCACGUGUUUCAGCUUAUUUGAUGUUUAUCAUCGACUUUCAUAAGCCUUUAGGAUUUGCUUUUGUUUACCAGCAACUUCAAAGGUGUUCAGAAAUGCUCUGUUUCAAGUGCUCUGUUUUGAGAUGCUGGAAAUGCUCUUUAAUACUUAUCGUUAUUAAAUUUGAGUUUGCAUUUUGGAAAAAAAUAGCUAAUGGGUGCUAGGGAUAAUGACCGUUGCUUCAUUACAAUUCAUGUUUACCAUUUAUUUGUGAUUAAGCUCGAUUGUUUGUCACGAAAUGACACAUGUAAUAGGCAUGAUAUUUCACUACCAUUCAAUUAUAGCUUAUGUACCCUCUACAUGUCAUUGUUUUGUCAUUCAGGAUAUCCGCCUUGGGCUCUACUCUGGGAUCGCGUCUGCAAUGUUGAGCCACACACGGAGGUACAGUCGUGGGAUUCGCCGUGGUCAGUCUAACCCCUGGCAAGGUGUCAACACUAGCGAUCUCGCCAUCUCUCUACCAUCCCGAGGUAAACAAGGCAUCUCUAUCCUUAGGCUGACUUGCUGCAACCUCAUAUGGAAGUCUUAUCACCAAGGGGCAACAAAAUGACAGUGUGUAGCCAGCUAGAGAAGUGUUCUAUUUGCAGUAUAAUUUUAUUCUCAUAUUAGCUAAUUGACAAACAAUAGGCGCACAUCAGCGUGCAAUGUUUUCAGCAAUUAGACAUCUAUACUCUGCAGUUAUUAGCUUUUCCAUUGUUCUGGCUUUGCCCAUCUACGGUUCUUCCUUUUAGUUAGUUGGUUCACUCUCUCUAUGCAAUUGGCAUGUACUGCUAUGUAUGCUAUGCACCGCAUUGGUUAAACAUGGUUAUCGGGUUGAGCUAGAAGAACACAUCAUUUUCUAUAUUGCUUUGCUUUAAACAAACUAGAAUUAUAUGAUUACCUCACAAAAUGCUUUCCGCGAACAUGAACGAUAUAUGUUGAUCCGACGAAAUUAAAGUUUUAUCUGACCAUGGAUAGUUUUAUUUUUAAGUGUGCCGCACUGAUGGAAGAGUUUUUUUGGUGAUCUUCUAUCUAGAUUAGCCGAACAUGAUUCACUUGAAGCAUUUUUGCCGCUCCCUCUUGAGUGUUUUGUAUUCUCUUGUGUACUUAACCACUAGCAUUUUUGAAAUCAUUUGAAGAAGCUUUACGUAUUUAUCCACUUGAGGAUGGACAUGCUACCAGAAACUUUGAUAGUUAUUAUUAUUAACAAGUGUUAUUUCAGAUACCUACAGUUAAAUCUCUUAUCUUUUUUCUAGGUUUUGGUACAUGGAUCAGUAGAGGCUACCUAAUAUUUUAGAAUACAUUGGGCAAAGACCUCGGACUUGCAUAUUUAUGGUCCUCAUGUAUAAGAAAAAAUUGAUAUAGCAUCAGAUUUAUGUGUUUACUAGGUUUGUUUGUUAAUUCUGGAGCUUUUUUAAUUCUCAAAAAAAUAUUGUGUUAAUUCUUACCUGAUGGCUUUAACGAGAUAAGAGGUAAAAUUUAACAGUUAUCAACUUACCGAUAAGAGGUAAAAAAUAUUGUGUUAAUUCUGGAGCUGUCAUGAUUCAACGUGCCCUAAAAAAAGCCAUGGCUGAAAUAAUGAAAUGGAAGAUAUACACUCUCCUCAAUCUUUCAUAGCGGAUCCUUUUUUACAUUCUAUACUUCUGCAAUGUUUUCUUCCUACUUAUAGAUGUUUGGCAUUGUAUUUUUUAACUGGCCAAGGUUAACUGUGUGUCUUCAUCAUCUACUGCAGGGAAAGAGCAGCUUAUGCACAAAAGGUGUAUAUCUUAUGCUUUUUACGAUAUUGUAGUCGCACACUGUCACUGAAUUUCUUAGGACGUGUUUAAUUGGCGCGUUUUGUCAGCGAUAUUUGUUCCAAAAUUGACUUCAUAUAUUUUUAGUCAGCGAUAUUUGUAUUGCUUUGUCGGUGCACAUAGAUGAAGGGAAAUUUAUACUUCCUUUUUAAAGAUUCAAACACAGUUAAAUAUCUCAUGUAUUUUCCCGAAUCAUAUGUAAGGCCAUGAUAUAACGGAGGUGUCAGAAAGUUCAGGUGAGAUCCAAAUACUCCAUAACCUCUGAUUUCCUAGAUAUUGGUGCAUUAUUCGUGAUUAUUGAAUUAAGAAACCACACCUUUCUUUAAUUAAAUGGUAAGAAAGGCCACAAAACUAUGAUGUAAUUAGGAAGCGAAACUGAAAUCUGCUACCUGAUGUUCUGCUUGGACAUAGGAUUCAGUUUUUAAUUGCGGAAAUCAUCCAAGUUGACACUUCUGAGUUGUGGUGUGCAGACUUUCUACCUGCAUUUUAUGUUAACUUGGUGCUGCCAAUCUUGGCCAGCCAUUUGUAUACUUGGUCAUGUGCUCUAAUUCGGUCCUUAAUCUCUUAUUAAGCAGUAAGUAAAGAAAGCUCUUCAGAUAGAUAUAAUUUCGAGAAUGACUGAAACUUGAUUUUUUUUUUGCAUGUUUAGCUGUGUUGCGGCUAUAUUAUAUGUAUAUAUUAUGUCCAAGAGAUAUGUGGUGCGGGGAGUCGCUGUUGCAGUACAUGGAAACAAUGAUCUUCCUUUACUUCAUGAUUAGGUGUUUAGAGUAUUCCUGUGCACCAGGGAGCACAAGGAGUUUGGGAGGAAGGACGAGCCCAAAACCAUCCGUCAGCGAUGGCAAGCAGCGAAGGGUCAAGUUGGAGGCAAACAUCAAGAAGCAUGUAAGAAGGUGACAGUCGCUGGAGCAUACUGUAGCUCGGACAAUUACCACAAGAACUUGAGUUUGAGACCCUGAAGCAAACUAGGGACCGUCUUUCCAGCUAGAAACAACAGGGGAAACCUAAAGGUAAAACAAGAAAUCUCGAGGACAUGAAGUGGUGGCCGAGGCGGAGUAGCAUCCCAGCUUCAGCUCGACUUGUACUGCUGAACCAUGCACAUGAGGCUGUCCUUGAUCAUCUCUUUCGGCAGCAGGUCUCCAUCUCUUGCACUCAGAUUGUUCCAGCCAGGGUUCACAAGG